This 63-nucleotide microRNA precursor is filed under the name Marmota monax (woodchuck). The record is from RNAcentral. Lineage: Eukaryota; Metazoa; Chordata; Mammalia; Rodentia; Sciuridae.
AUAACACUAUAAAGAUGAUGAUGAUGAUGAUGAUCAUCAUCAUCAUCAUCAUCAUCAUUAUUA